Molecule: long non-coding RNA, 951 nt
Filed under: Daucus carota (carrot)
Lineage: Eukaryota; Viridiplantae; Streptophyta; Magnoliopsida; Apiales; Apiaceae
Description: long non-coding RNA (DCAR_LNC007310)
Source: RNAcentral
AAUUAGUUUAUUAAUUAAUUUUAAUUAGUAAUUAAUUAUUUUAAUUGGUCAAUUAAUUUAAAUAUUAAUUGAUUAAUUAUUUUAAUUAAUUAUUAAUUGAUUUUAAUUGAUUAAUUAAUUGGAUUUAAUUAUCCUUUUUGAUUUAAAAAUUCCGAAAAAUAGUUUCGAGCUUUAAAAUAUUUUUCCAAAUUAUAUUCAAGGCUCGAUAAUUGGUUAUGAAUGAUUUCAAGUCCAAUUUCAAGUAUUUGGGACUUGAUUAUUUAUCCGAAAAGUGAUUCUUUUAUCGAUUUUAAUUCCGAAAAAUGUUUAAAAAUUACAGAAAAUUCCCGAAAAAUCAUUUUGAACUCAAGAUUUGAUUUGACCUCUAUUGGGGUGGGAAACCUUAUGUGUAAUGUGUUGUCUGCUAUUGGUUGGAUGUCUUAUGUGUCGAUAUAAGAGUGAGAAAACGGUUUUAAACAUAUCUUUUGAUCCGUAAGUCGGAAUCAAGUGAAACGAAAGAGAGAUGAAAGCUUAUAAAGUCUAGUUUGGUAUGACAUAAUAAUAUGAUGGAGUCGAGAAUGUGAAUAAUUGUUGUUAAACGUGCCGAAUGUGAUUAUAUGUUAUUGGAUUGUUAUUAAUUGAUGACUACGUGAUAUAUAUGUCUAUUCUUGAUAUUAUAUACGUGAUAAAUGAUUUGGAUGACAUAGUGUCGUGAGUUGAUUGAUAUUGGAUAAGAAUAUAUGGAUUAUAGUGAUUGGAUCUUGUUGAUUGGUUGUUGAUUGAGAUAGGAUAACAGGUGGAUAGUCUUAUACAUAGAGGAAACGAUGUCGGAAUUUCGAUAAGGAUUGAUAUGAUAAUUGAUUGGUGAUAUGUUAUGUGGAAUAUGAUUGAUUAUAUGUUAGAGUCAAAGCAUGCUUAUGUGUUACGUGGUAUCUGAUAAGUUUAAAGGGGUAUAUAAGUGGGUAUCGGUAU